Molecule: ribosomal RNA, 312 nt
Filed under: Triticum aestivum (bread wheat)
Lineage: Eukaryota; Viridiplantae; Streptophyta; Magnoliopsida; Poales; Poaceae
Description: partial small subunit ribosomal RNA
Source: RNAcentral
CGUAGGAGGGGUGGAAUAAAGUGGACGCUCGAAGGGGACGCAAACACAAAAUACUUCCAUGCUUAUGCCAAUGGCCGGCGACGUAAGUGUGCCAUUCUGAGGUUGCAAUCGGAGCAGGGGCUCCUAUUGCGCCAACAGGACAUAGUCCGGCACAUUUACGAUUUCUACAUCAAGCUGCUGGGCUCCAGGGAGGAGUCCAGGGCUCGCCUACGGGCGGAUAUCUGGGAUCCCGCUCUGCUGGUCUCGGAUGAAGAGAACGAAGGCUUGGGCCUCGCCUUCCUUCCUCAGGAAAUCGACCAGGCGAUCCUGGGG